CAAUGGUUGGUACAGAGGGUUGCGAAGUCGCGAGGCGGAGCUAAUCUCUCAAAGCCAAUCGUAGUCCGGAUUGGAGUCUGCAACUCGACUCCAUGAAGUCGGAAUCGCUAGUAAUCGCGGAUCAGAAUGCCGCGGUGAAUACGUUCCCGGGCCUUGUACACACCGCCCGUCACACCAUGGGAGUGGAUUGCACCAGAAGUAGUUAGUCUAACCUUCGGGAGGACGAUUACCACGGUGUGGUUCAUGACUGGGGUGAAGUCGUAACAAGGUAGCCGUAGGGGAACCUGCGGCUGGAUCACCUCCUUAACGAA
Molecule: ribosomal RNA, 311 nt
Filed under: Alcanivorax sp. KX64203
Lineage: Bacteria; Pseudomonadati; Pseudomonadota; Gammaproteobacteria; Oceanospirillales; Alcanivoracaceae
Description: partial 16S ribosomal RNA
Rfam family: Bacterial small subunit ribosomal RNA
Source: RNAcentral